This 253-nucleotide ribosomal RNA is filed under the name uncultured bacterium. Its description in RNAcentral is "partial 16S ribosomal RNA". It matches the Rfam family "Bacterial small subunit ribosomal RNA", at positions 524 to 776 of the family's 1533-position model. The record is from RNAcentral.
UACGUAGGGGGCUAGCGUUGUUCGGAAUUACUGGGCGUAAAGGGCUCGUAGGCGGCUAACUAAGUCCGACGUGAAAUCCCCAGGCUUAACCUGGGAACUGCGUCGGAUACUGGAUGGCUUGAAUUCGGGAGAGGGAUGCAGAAUUCCAGGUGUAGCGGUGAAAUGCGUAGAUAUCUGGAGGAAUACCGGUGGCGAAGGCGGCAUCCUGGACCGACAUUGACGCUGAUGAGCGAAAGCUAGGGGAGCAAACGGG